GGAGAGAUGCCGGAGCGGCUGAACGGGACGGUCUCGAAAACCGUUGUGGGGGCAACCCCACCGAGGGUUCGAAUCCCUCUCUCUCCGCCA
This 90-nucleotide transfer RNA is filed under the name Musicola paradisiaca. RNAcentral describes it as "tRNA-Ser". It matches the Rfam family "tRNA". From Rfam's summary of the family: Transfer RNA (tRNA) molecules are approximately 80 nucleotides in length. Their secondary structure includes four short double-helical elements and three loops (D, anti-codon, and T loops). Lineage: Bacteria; Pseudomonadati; Pseudomonadota; Gammaproteobacteria; Enterobacterales; Pectobacteriaceae. RNAcentral also lists the same sequence under 1 other name. The record is from RNAcentral.